UCCAUCUAAAUGAUUCUUCCAUAUACGGCUGAUAUUCAUACUGAACAUGUUUUGAUGUAAUGUUUCUUUACUUUCAGCAUUUAGCUUCGAGCAUGUGAUACGUGACUGGAUGGAAUUCCUGGAGAACUGUAUUAACAUGUUCCAAAGAGCUGAAUCCUGAGAAACCAUGGGGAAGAAAGCAGACAGGAGUACUCAUGAGGACAUUGAUGCAGAAACCCAGGUGUAAAGUCAAAUAUGCUGAAUGGCUCUCCAUCAACAAAUUAAAGAGGCAAAUAUAAAAUCCAGAUUUUUCAGAUUCUGAAAGCACAAGAAAGUUACCUGGAUCAGAGAAAACAGAUCCAGUUUUAUGGAGAGAAAAGGUAACUGUGAAAUGGUCUUCAUAUUCCCCAUGAAGAAUAUACAGGUAUGUGGUAAAGAAGAGAUAAGAAUUUCCUGAGAUUUCAUUUGUAUGUAAGGUAGUUGUUUUAGCAAAGUAGCAUAGGAGAAGAUUAAUAUGAAUCAAUGAAGUGUUUCACUGAUGGAUUUUUUAAGUGAUUGAAAUAUUAGUGUUUUCCAUUUCAGAGAAUUGAACUCUUAAAUAUGCUAUUGGCAGAAGGAGACAAGUUUUAAUUAUUGGGUAAGGAUUAUUUUAA
RNAcentral lists this long non-coding RNA (632 nucleotides) under Bos indicus x Bos taurus (hybrid cattle). RNAcentral's name for it is "lncRNA (ENSBIXG00005030929.1)". The record is from RNAcentral. Lineage: Eukaryota; Metazoa; Chordata; Mammalia; Artiodactyla; Bovidae.